AGCAGUCGCCGCGGUAAUACAGAGGGUGCGAGCGUUAAUCGGAUUUACUGGGCGUAAAGCGUGCGUAGGCGGCUUCUUAAGUCGGAUGUGAAAUCCCUGAGCUUAACUUAGGAAUUGCAUUCGAUACUGGGAAGCUAGAGUAUGGGAGAGGAUGGUAGAAUUCCAGGUGUAGCGGUGAAAUGCGUAGAGAUCUGGAGGAAUACCGAUGGCGAAGGCAGCCAUCUGGCCUAAUACUGACGCUGAGGUACGAAAGCAUGGGGAGCAAACAGGAUUAGAUACCCCCGUAGUCCCUGUCUCUUAUCC
Molecule: ribosomal RNA, 303 nt
Filed under: uncultured bacterium
Lineage: Bacteria
Description: partial 16S ribosomal RNA
Rfam family: Bacterial small subunit ribosomal RNA
Source: RNAcentral